GGACGGUUAGCUCAGCGGGAGAGCACCUGCUUCACGCGCAGGGGGUCGCAGGUUCGAACCCUGCACCGUCCACCA
RNAcentral lists this transfer RNA (75 nucleotides) under Melghirimyces thermohalophilus. RNAcentral describes it as "tRNA_Val_CAC". It matches the Rfam family "tRNA". Rfam says of the family: Transfer RNA (tRNA) molecules are approximately 80 nucleotides in length. Their secondary structure includes four short double-helical elements and three loops (D, anti-codon, and T loops). RNAcentral also lists the same sequence under 2 other names. The record is from RNAcentral. Lineage: Bacteria; Bacillati; Bacillota; Bacilli; Caryophanales; Thermoactinomycetaceae.